UACGAGUGGUGCGAGCGUUGUUCGGAUUCAUUGGGCGUAAAGGGUGCGUAGGUGGCGCGGUAAGUCGGGUGUGAAAUUUCGGAGCUUAACUCCGAAACUGCAUUCGAUACUGCCGUGCUUGAGGACUGGAGAGGAGACUGGAAUUUACGGUGUAGCAGUGAAAUGCGUAGAUAUCGUAAGGAAGACCAGUGGCGAAGGCGGGUCUCUGGACAGUUCCUGACACUGAGGCACGAAGGCCAGGGGAGCAAACGGG
Molecule: ribosomal RNA, 253 nt
Filed under: uncultured bacterium
Lineage: Bacteria
Description: partial 16S ribosomal RNA
Rfam family: Bacterial small subunit ribosomal RNA
Source: RNAcentral